RNAcentral lists this transfer RNA (74 nucleotides) under Candidatus Aminicenantota bacterium. RNAcentral describes it as "tRNA-Arg". It matches the Rfam family "tRNA". From Rfam's summary of the family: Transfer RNA (tRNA) molecules are approximately 80 nucleotides in length. Their secondary structure includes four short double-helical elements and three loops (D, anti-codon, and T loops). The record is from RNAcentral. Lineage: Bacteria; Candidatus Aminicenantota. RNAcentral also lists the same sequence under 1 other name.
GUGCCUGUAGCUCAGCUGGAUAGAGCGACGGCCUCCGGAGCCGUAGGUCGCAGGUUCGAAUCCUGUCAGGCACG